RNAcentral lists this ribosomal RNA (500 nucleotides) under Rhodosorus marinus. RNAcentral describes it as "partial Bacterial large subunit ribosomal RNA". It matches the Rfam family "Bacterial large subunit ribosomal RNA", at positions 3 to 519 of the family's 2925-position model. The record is from RNAcentral. Lineage: Eukaryota; Rhodophyta; Stylonematophyceae; Stylonematales; Stylonemataceae.
UCAAGUGAAUAAGGGCUUAUGGUGGAUACCUUGGCAUUCAGAAGCGAUGAAGGGCGUGGUUACCAGCGAAAUGUCUCGAGAAGUUGGAAACAAACUAUGAUUCGAGAGUUCCCGAAUAAGGAAACUUCUAGAACUGUUUAUUGAAUAUAUAGAUAAAUAAGAGCGAACCUAGCGAAUUGAAACAUCUUAGUAGCUAGAGGAAAAGAAAGCAAAAGCGAUUCCCUAAGUAGCGGCGAGCGAAAUGGGAUCAGCCUAAACUAUUUAUAUUCUAAAUAGGGUUGUGGGACAGUAAUACUGAUUUUAUUAAGUUAGGUGAAAUUGUUGGAAUACUAUAUCAUAGAAGGUGAAAAUCCUGUAACCGAAAACUUUCAUAAAAUCUAACUGUAUCCCGAGUAGUAUGGGGCACGUGAAAUCCCGUAUGAAUCAGCGAGGACCACCUCGUAAGGCUAAAUAUUCCUGAAUGACCGAUAGUGAAACAGUACCGUGAGGGAAAGGUGAAA